RNAcentral lists this ribosomal RNA (486 nucleotides) under uncultured bacterium. Its description in RNAcentral is "bacterial SSU rRNA". It matches the Rfam family "Bacterial small subunit ribosomal RNA", at positions 1 to 507 of the family's 1533-position model. The record is from RNAcentral.
ACGAGUUUGAUCAUGGCUCAGAAUCAACGCUGGCGGCGUGCCUCAGACAUGCAAGUCGAACGAUUAAAGCUCUCUUCGGAGAGUGUAUAGAGUGGCGCACGGGUGAGUAACACGUAAGUAAUCUACCCUCGAGUGGGGAAUAACAACCGGAAACGGUUGCUAAUACCGCAUAAUGCAGCGGCACCGCAAGGUGACAGUUGUCAAAGAUUUAUCGCUUGAGGAGGAGCUUGCGGCAGAUUAGCUAGUUGGUAGGGUAACGGCUUACCAAGGCUACGAUCUGUAACCGGUCUAAGAGGACGGUCGGUCACACUGACACUGAAUAACGGGUCAGACUCCUACGGGAGGCAGCAGUCGGGAAUUUUGGGCAAUGGGCGAAAGCCUGACCCAGCAACGCCGCGUGAAGGAUGAAGUAUUUCGGUAUGUAAACUUCGAAAGAAUAGGAAGAAUUAAUGACGGUACUAUUUAUAAGGUCCGGCUAACUACGUG